AUGCUUGCCAUGCGGCGCGCCGCGCAGCGGGCGAUCGCCGCGGCGGAGAAGGCCGCGCGGAGGAAGACGCAGCGAGCGGUGGCCGCGGCGGCGAGGGCCGCGCGGAGGAAGCAGAAGGCCGCCGAGAGCGUCGCCCGGAGAGAGCAGAAGGCCGCCAUGAGAGAGCAGAAAGCCGCCGCCGCCGCCGCCGCCAACCAGAAGAAGCGGAAAGCCGCCGCCGCCACCGCUGCCGCCGUGCGCGCGGCGGCGCGGCGUAAGCUCGACUUCGACGGUGAGCAGCAGCAGAUCAUGCCGCCGGAACGCAUCUACCAGACCUCCUCCUCCAGCAGCAGAGCCGAUCUGAUGGACAACAUGAGGCUCCUCCUCGUCGCGUUCGACCUGCAGGCCGGCGAAAUCGACGCGGAACCACCGGUGUCGCCACCGGCGAGAUCGGAGAGGCAAAUCUUGCGGCUGCCGCCGCCGGCCACCGUGACCACCGCCAUCGUCGCCCUCAAGAACAAGCCGAAGAAAGCGACAACGGUGAACAAGCUCGCGCUGGUGCCGUACAAACCCAAGCGCGCGGCCGCCUCCGCCGUCGACGAGGUGCUCCCGGGGGCGCUGGUGCUCUACGGCGAGCCGACCACGCAGCCGGCGCGGGUGUUCGUGCCACGGUGGACCUCCGUGCGGCUCGUGCUCGACAAGCUCCGGCCUCGCUUCGGACUCGUCCUCGGCCUCGACGCCGCAACGAGGGCCGUGUACAACGAGCUGGUGCGGCGGGAGGAGACGUCGUACGGCGACGACGAGCUCCACGAUGUGCCCAGCGGCACGGAGUGGGAGGAGCGGCGCCGCGAGUUCGAGCGCAAGCAACGCUUUCAUGACAAUCGCGGCGAGGUUCCCUCUGAAGAACCGUAGGAAUGCAGCACACCAUUCAGACAAUGUACUUUUGUUUUUUUUUUAGUUUUUUUAGAGAAGGGUAUUUUCUACCCGGCCUCCAUAUCCAACCGGAUAUAUACGGCCAUUGAGAUAGGGAACUUAGCCCCGCAAACAACCCAAUUUGAAGUACCUUUGUUGGCGCAGAAUUCAGGCAAUGUACCUCUGUUGUUAACUGAUGGUCACGAUGAACAAGAACAAUGCCAUUGCCAGCUUCAAAGCAUAGCACAAUGCAGCAGUGGUUCAAAAUCAGGUGUGGCUGAACCCGGUGAUGUCAGCCAAGAAGCUAAGCAAACAGAGUGCCCUGACAAGGAUCUUGAGGCGAUCAUGUCGGCGAUACGAAGCGGCGAUAUAUCAAAUUUUGACGAUGAUCACAUACAGAAGGUUCUGAAAGCCAGGUUCAAAGAUUCGACACCUCCUCCUCCUUCCGAAUCUUCUUCGAAAAAAAAGACGAUAUCCACAGCUGAAACAAUCUUCAAGGACAUUAAGUCUAUUAAGAAAAAUGAUACCUCCCAUUGGCAUUCUCUCUAUGAUGAAGCUCGCAACAGAGGGUACAUAAGAGAUGAUGACAUUCCUGACAUGGUCGAUUGGGAGGCUUUGAUGAAUGCACCAUUUGCUGAUGUUGUGGACUGCAUCAAGGACCGAGGACAGCAUUCUCAAAUGGCAUUUAGAAUCCUGGCUUUUCUAAUUCGCAUGAAAAGAGACCAUGGAAACAUUGACCUUGAAUGGCUUAGAUUCAUCCCUCGUGCAAAGGCAAAUUACAAGGCUAGGAUGGGUGCAACUCCGUCCUUUGCCAUCAUCUCAGGAGUUUCAUCGGGUAGACAACAAAACAGUAAGUUCUCUACUUUAAUUCAAGCGAUGCCUGGGUAUUUGUCAUUUGAUCGAAUUUGUCUAACAAACCAGCGCACAAACAGGUACGAGCUGCAUUGUCAGAUGAUAACUUUUGGAAAGGCAAUUUGUAGGAAAUCAAAACCAAACUGUGGCGCGUGCCCAUUUACUUCUGAGUGCAAAUAUUACAAAAGUCAGUUUGGGAGGGCCGCGCUUGCUCUCCCAGAGUACAGCCAGCAAGAUGCAACAAAGGAUGCAAACAUGGACGACCCAGCAAAGACAUAUGAUCUAAUUUUCAAAGCACAUCAAUACCAAAUCGAAUAUGGAAAAAACACAGAAAUGAAUUAUUGCGAGCCUGUUAUCGAGAUACCACCAACUCCACUACAUGAAAACCGAGGAGAAACAAGUGAUGAAGACGAUGAGAAUGAGUACUAUUUCGAUGAUGAUAUGGAAGACAUAGGUCGACACGAUUAUGAUAUGGAAGACAUAGAACACGAUUAUGACAUGGAGGUAGAUCUUCGCUCUGCGAAACCCACCACAAACACAAGCCAGGCAGGAGCUACACCUGGGAAAGAGAUGAUUCCAAUCAAUCCACGAGCCAAAUCAACUCCAAUGGUGAAGAAAUUUUCUCUGCGAACAGAGUACACUGCAAUAUUUUACAGCUGGGCUCUAAUUAUUCUGGUUUUUUUCACUAUUGCUGUUUUUAGAUGUAUCAUUCCUGAUGGCCAUAUCAUCUUGAAAAAGUUUGAUCCAAGGGUCCCUGGUGACCGAAAUCCAUAUCUCUUGGUAUUUCGUAGUUUUGACGAACAUACUGUGAAGGCUACAAUUUUGGUUUUUGCUGAUCAUUCGUCUAGUCGUUCACCCAUAGAAAUAAAUAGGGAUUUAGUAUGGGAGCUUCGGCGUCAGACAUGCAUUGUGCACUUUGGUACUAGAGUACAUAGUGUCACGAAAGGUCAAACAAGAGAAGGACUUUAUCACUUCUAUAAUGAAGGAUACAUCUGUACCAGAGAAUUUGACCGCAGGACAAAGUUUCCAAAACAAUUAUGUGUCGAAAUACAUGCCACCAACGUAAACAAAGAUAUUGGCAAGAAAAGGGCUAGACCUAGUACAACAAGGUUUUAUUCAGAGGAAGAUAGCGGAGACGAGUGGCCUGACUGGUGA
RNAcentral lists this long non-coding RNA (2898 nucleotides) under Oryza sativa aromatic subgroup. RNAcentral describes it as "lncRNA OsARC_04g0009780". The record is from RNAcentral. Lineage: Eukaryota; Viridiplantae; Streptophyta; Magnoliopsida; Poales; Poaceae.